Dermacentor albipictus is the source of this 1243-nucleotide long non-coding RNA. RefSeq lists it as uncharacterized. The record is from RefSeq and is a predicted model, not a curated record. Lineage: Eukaryota; Metazoa; Arthropoda; Arachnida; Ixodida; Ixodidae.
UUAUAUGCUUAUGGUACAUACACCAUGUCUACAAGCAUGCAAUAGAUGUCAACACCUUUUAAUGCAUUACAGAAUGAAUCAAGCAAAGAAACUGUUGCCUCCCCAUUAGAAGCAAAGGUGUUGCCCCAUGCACCUGUCAGCACGACCACCAUGGUAAAUUGGCUGCCUGCAACUUGUGCACACAUUGCUUCACCACUAAUUCCUUGGGAUUAAACUCUGACAUUGCAGGACGAUCUCCCAUCCCCUGACCGCAACAGCAUGGACCAAAUAAGUGACAAAGGAAAUAUGGAAUGUGCUUGCCAACCUGGCCUCCAGACAUUAAUGGCAGAGUACUCAAGAGAAGAAAAAGACGUGGCAAAUUUCCUACUAGAAAUGGCUUCACGGACAAGGCUUACAGAAAGCAAGGCUGCCCAAGUGACAUCGGGUACUUUUCCACAGAAGUUUGUGAACACGAUAAAUAGUAGCGACGUAAAUACAUUCACAGGCCUGCCAUCAUUCGAUGUUCUGAAUGCUCGUGUGACGUGCUACACAAAAAUUCAUCCACUUUCAGGACGGCACCAGUUAUGUGUAAAAACAAUUGCAUUGACAUUGGUGAAAUUGAAGCAUAUUUCCACUGCAUUCUUGAGUCACCUUUUUAACUGUUCUCUAACUACAUGUAGCAACAUAAUUGCAGAGACUGUUCAGUUGAUGUGUGAAAUUUUAAAGGUAACUGUGGCUGUGCCACCAAAAGAUGAAUUCCAGUGGCGCGUUUGCAUAUUCGGCAUUAGGUGAUUCACCUGAAGUCGUGCCAUGGCUGGCGAUAUUGCAAGUAGCCUGUAUUGCAUAGAGGCAUUUGUGCGUGUGACCUUGGCUCCAUCAAAGCGUGGCGGCCUUGAGAGUAAGUGCAGUCUUCUGUUUGGAAAUCCAGCAUUUUUUAUGCCACUCAGCCACUUCAUACUUUUCAGACACGGUCGUUGCCAUGUGAUCUACAUGCUGCACUUGUUUGCAUUGGCCAAACCUGCAGACUUCAACUUCAACACACUUUUUGUAAAUUAGCAAUGCACAUUCUUUUGCAACUUGUAUUCUUCAUUGAAGUGCUGAUUUACACUACGCAUUCUGAUGCAAGUUUUCAUCUUAUGGUAUUCCGAGAUAUUUGCAGUUCACUUAUGAUCUGUGUGCAUAGAGUUGUGGUUAUUCUUCAAUGGCGGUUUGUUGUCCCUUUCCUUACUUGUAUUUUUUCACAAAAUAAACCACAUGCACUCAA